RNAcentral lists this ribosomal RNA (1356 nucleotides) under Pseudoalteromonas sp. TAE79. RNAcentral describes it as "bacterial LSU rRNA". It matches the Rfam family "Bacterial large subunit ribosomal RNA", at positions 816 to 2157 of the family's 2925-position model. Lineage: Bacteria; Pseudomonadati; Pseudomonadota; Gammaproteobacteria; Alteromonadales; Pseudoalteromonadaceae. RNAcentral also lists the same sequence under 1 other name. The record is from RNAcentral.
UAGGAGUGAAAGGCUAAUCAAACCGGGAGAUAGCUGGUUCUCCCCGAAAUCUAUUUAGGUAGAGCCUCGGACGAAUACUUACGGGGGUAGAGCACUGUUAAGGCUAGGGGGUCAUCCCGACUUACCAACCCUUUGCAAACUCCGAAUACCGUAAAGUAAUAUCCGGGAGACACACGGCGGGUGCUAACGUCCGUCGUGAAGAGGGAAACAACCCAGACCGCCAGCUAAGGUCCCAAAGUCAUAGUUAAGUGGGAAACGAUGUGGAAAGGCCCAGACAGCCAGGAGGUUGGCUUAGAAGCAGCCAUCCUUUAAAGAAAGCGUAAUAGCUCACUGGUCGAGUCGGUCUGCGCGGAAGAUGUAACGGGGCUAAACUAUGCACCGAAGCUGCGGAUUCAAACUUUGUUUGAGUGGUAGGGGAGCGUUCUGUAAGCCGUUGAAGGUGUGCCGGGAGGCAUGCUGGAGGUAUCAGAAGUGCGAAUGCUGACAUGAGUAACGAUAAUGCGGGUGAAAAACCCGCACGCCGGAAGACCAAGGGUUCCUAUCCCAUGUUAAUCAGGGUAGGGUAAGUCGACCCCUAAGGCGAGGCCGAAAGGCGUAGUCGAUGGGAAACGGAUUAAUAUUUCCGUACUUGGUAUAAUUGCGAUGGGGGGACGGAGCAGGCUAAGCAAGCAUGGCGAUGGUAGUCCAUGUGAAAGUGUGUAGGCUAGUGACUUAGGUAAAUCCGGGUUGCUGUUAGGCUGAGACACGAGACGAGUCACCAAGGUGAUGAAGUUGCUGAUGCCAUACUUCCAGGAAAAGCCUCUAAGCUUCAGAUUAUACCGAAUCGUACCCCAAACCGACACAGGUGGUCAGGUAGAGAAUACUAAGGCGCUUGAGAGAACUCGGGUGAAGGAACUAGGCAAAAUCGUACCGUAACUUCGGGAGAAGGUACGCUCCUAUCUGUGAUGAGACUUGCUCUCUAAGCGGACGGGAGCCGCAGUGACCAGGUGGCUGGGACUGUUUAUUAAAAACACAGCACUGUGCAAAAUCGCAAGAUGACGUAUACGGUGUGACACCUGCCCGGUGCCGGAAGGUUAAUUGAUGGGGUUAUCCUUAGGGAGAAGCUCUUGAUCGAAGCCCCGGUAAACGGCGGCCGUAACUAUAACGGUCCUAAGGUAGCGAAAUUCCUUGUCGGGUAAGUUCCGACCUGCACGAAUGGUGUAACCAUGGCCACGCUGUCUCCACCCGAGACUCAGUGAAAUUGAAAUCGCAGUGAAGAUGCUGUGUACCCGCGGCUAGACGGAAAGACCCCGUGAACCUUUACUACAGCUUGGCACUGAACAUUGAACCUACAUGUGUAGGAUAGGUGGGAGACUU